Long non-coding RNA from Mesocricetus auratus (golden hamster), 548 nucleotides. RefSeq lists it as uncharacterized. The transcript has 3 exons. Lineage: Eukaryota; Metazoa; Chordata; Mammalia; Rodentia; Cricetidae. The record is from RefSeq and is a predicted model, not a curated record.
CAGCUCCCCAGCCCGGUCCCCCAGGUCAGGCAUAAAUCUCUUCAAUGGGAUUAGAUUGUUUAAGGGGCUAUGGGCUGUGGGAAGACCUUUGUCUGCUGUAUUCAUCGUCUCUGCUGCGAGUCUCAACAUUUCCACAAUGGGGUUAAAACUCUAGUGAUGCUGGCAACCAGUGUCUAAGAAAGGGGCAAGAAAGGCUCUGAGAAGAAACACCGGCCUGACCACAGUCUACUCUUUUAACAAGGUUACAAUCCUAAACUGAGGCUGUUGCUACUAAACCAAGUUACCCACAGAGGCCAGAAGACGGCAUCAGAGCCUUCAAAGCUGGAGUAGUCAUGGUGAUUUGAGCCACCUAACACGGAUCCUGGGAACCAAGCUCCAAUCUUCUGGAAGGGCAGCAAAUGCUCUUCACUGUGAAGCCUUCUCUCCAGCCUCCACAUUUUCCAAAAAUUUAUUACCAAAAAUAUUUUUUGUUUUAACAAGGGGAAGAAAAAAAACAGUCACUAAAAGGGGGCUUGAAUAAUAAAACUUUCAUAUGCUUCAAGACCUAA